GACGAACGCUGGCGGCGUGCUUAACACAUGCAAGUCGAACGAAGAGGCGAACGGGUGAGUAACGCGGAAUCAACCUGCCCAUCAGAGGGGGACAACAGUGGGAAACGACUGCUAAUACCGCAUAGUGAAGGAGGGGAAUGCGUCUGAUUAGGAAGUUGGAGGGGAAACGGCCCACCAAGGCGAUGAGCAGUAGCCGGUCCGAGAGGUUGACCGGCCACAUUGGGACUGAGACACGGCCCAGACUUCUACUGGAGGCAGCAGUGGGGAAUCUUCCGCAAUGGACGGAAGUCUGGCGGAGCAACGCCGCGUGAGUGAUGACGGCCUUCGGGUUGUAAAGCUCUGUUAAUCGGGACGCGGUACCGGAAUAGAAAGCCACGGCUAACUACGUGCCAGCAGCCGCGGUAAUUC
Molecule: ribosomal RNA, 408 nt
Filed under: uncultured bacterium
Lineage: Bacteria
Description: partial 16S ribosomal RNA
Rfam family: Bacterial small subunit ribosomal RNA
Source: RNAcentral